UUUCACAUGGAAGCAACUGCACAUGCAACUAGCAAUGCUAACACAGGGUUAAGCAAGCAGUAACAUAGCCAAUCAGUGGUUUGCUAGGUUGAACAGGUUGAAGGUUUUCAUGGCAUUGUUUAGAGGUUGAUAUUUAACAUGUGGUAGGCAACGAGACAUAAUCAAUAGAAGCGAUAAAAACUAGCAUGGAAAUGAUAGUAAUGGUAUCUGGGGAAAUGGUCAUCUUGCCUGAAAUCCCGCUUGGAAGAAGAAUGCCUCCGUGAAGCAGACAAACCGAGGUCGAACGGGUCCUCACAUCCGACACGCUUGCGGAACUCUAUCGAGACGAAGAAAACCGGAAACACAAAUCAACACACGAUAUUCACCACACGAUGCACAACACAUAUGAUGCAUGAGCAGCUGAAUACAUGCAAGACACGACAUGACAAUUCACACAAUCAAACACUACACAUUAAGUGAAGUUCAAUAUGCAACGAGUUGCAUAUUGACGAAACUCCACGUUAAUUUAUUUAGUUCUAUCCCGAUUAGGUACACGACAAUAUUAGAUGUGCUUACACAUGGCAAGAGGUGAAGCGUAAUUAAACUACCUAUCUAGGCAUUUUAAAUGAGGUCGAAAAUGACAUAUAGCAUCACCGAAAUGACCCCAUGUGUUAAAUCUUAAUUCUGUCCAGAUUUGUCCUAAUCACAUUUUAGUUUUGUCAAACGGAAAAUCAAAGUGGUUCGUGUGAUUUUACUCACCGUUUUGGUCCAUUUACAUAUAUGGCACAUCUCCAACGGAGCUACAGACAAAUAGUUACGACCUAAACCGUUUAAACACGUCGUCACGCAAAUCGAUGCAAACAACAUACUAAACAGUUCUAAUUAUGCAACGAGUUGGAAAAUAUUACUCUACGCAAAAUUCUACACGUUCUACAUAUAUAUCUCGUUUUGGUCCAUUACACGGUUAAAAGAUACGGACGGUUGCAAACAUGCUAUUUCUGCAAUCUAGCAAAUUCGCUAGUUAAUAGCAAAAACGUAGACAACGAAAAAAAAACUAGCUAAGGGCCGAAUUUGAAGACACAGUGCAACCCAGCAACAGAUCAGGCCCAAACGUGUGACAAC
RNAcentral lists this long non-coding RNA (1101 nucleotides) under Hordeum vulgare. Its description in RNAcentral is "long non-coding RNA (HVUL_LNC020769)". Lineage: Eukaryota; Viridiplantae; Streptophyta; Magnoliopsida; Poales; Poaceae. The record is from RNAcentral.